This 138-nucleotide ribosomal RNA is filed under the name uncultured eukaryote. RNAcentral's name for it is "partial 18S ribosomal RNA". It matches the Rfam family "Eukaryotic small subunit ribosomal RNA", at positions 1299 to 1458 of the family's 1831-position model. The record is from RNAcentral.
UGGUGGGUUGCCUUGUCAGGUUGAUUCCGGUAACGAACGAGACCUCCGCCUGCUAAAUAGUCAACAUCGCACCUGCGGUGUGCCGACUUCUUAGAGGGACUAUUGGCGUUCAGCCAAUGGAAGUGGGAGGCGAUAACA